CAAAGUAACAGCAUUGAACGGUCAUCGGUUGCAGCUUGCAAGCCGAGGCUGAUUCCUAAGGCGUCGUUGAUGCGUGCCUCGGCCAGGAGGCCUCGCCGGCAACCAGCGCCGGAGGAAGUAGCGCUACGCGCCCGCGUCGCGCGGCGUCGGCGCUUCCACCGCGGAGGUCGCCCCCGAGUGGCCGAGAACACGAGGCUAGAGUUGACGACGAGGCGAACGGUGUCGGAAGUCGUGCAUGCGGGCUCA
RNAcentral lists this long non-coding RNA (246 nucleotides) under Hordeum vulgare. RNAcentral describes it as "long non-coding RNA (HVUL_LNC003890)". The record is from RNAcentral. Lineage: Eukaryota; Viridiplantae; Streptophyta; Magnoliopsida; Poales; Poaceae.